GGAGUGUAGCGCAGCUUGGUAGCGCGAUUGACUGGGGGUCAACAGGUCGGCGGUUUGAUUCCGCCCCAUCCA
Molecule: transfer RNA, 72 nt
Filed under: Rickettsia endosymbiont of Ixodes persulcatus
Lineage: Bacteria; Pseudomonadati; Pseudomonadota; Alphaproteobacteria; Rickettsiales; Rickettsiaceae
Description: tRNA-Pro
Rfam family: tRNA (bases 6-66)
About the family: Transfer RNA (tRNA) molecules are approximately 80 nucleotides in length. Their secondary structure includes four short double-helical elements and three loops (D, anti-codon, and T loops). Further hydrogen bonds mediate the characteristic L-shaped molecular structure. tRNAs have two regions of fundamental functional importance: the anti-codon, which is responsible for specific mRNA codon recognition, and the 3' end, to which the tRNAs corresponding amino acid is attached (by aminoacyl-tRNA synthetases). tRNAs cope with the degeneracy of the genetic code in two manners: having more than one tRNA (with a specific anti-codon) for a particular amino acid; and 'wobble' base-pairing, i.e. permitting non-standard base-pairing at the 3rd anti-codon position.
Source: RNAcentral